RNAcentral lists this ribosomal RNA (224 nucleotides) under uncultured Pseudomonas sp. RNAcentral's name for it is "partial 16S ribosomal RNA". It matches the Rfam family "Bacterial small subunit ribosomal RNA", at positions 1159 to 1382 of the family's 1533-position model. The record is from RNAcentral. Lineage: Bacteria; Pseudomonadati; Pseudomonadota; Gammaproteobacteria; Pseudomonadales; Pseudomonadaceae.
AACCGAACGGGAAGGUGGGGAUGACGUCAAGUCAUCAUGGCCCUUACGGCCUGGGCUACACACGUGCUACAAUGGUCGGUACAAAGGGUUGCCAAGCCGCGAGGUGGAGCUAAUCCCAUAAAACCGAUCGUAGUCCGGAUCGCAGUCUGCAACUCGACUGCGUGAAGUCGGAAUCGCUAGUAAUCGUGAAUCAGAAUGUCACGGUGAAUACGUUCCCGGGCCUU